GAUAUAGAUGUUUUGGAGGUUUUUACCUUGAGUCCAAUUAUUUGCAGAGAUCUCGUCCUCUCCAAAAAAAUGGACUGGAUGGACUGUUAAGUAUGGUGGCCGGUGUGAAAAAGCAUCAACACAAAUGGUCUUAUCUAGAGGCAGUGUUUGGUUUGUCCAUUCUGGGCUACUGUGGAAACAUGCCGGUUCAACAUGGCUGAAUCUGUGGACAAGGACCCUCUCCUUAUGUAGAUCAACGGCUCAUUUUAAGGUCAUCCCAGGACACGCAGCAGCUGAGGGCGAGCCAGACGGAACCAGUGCGGCACGGAGCGGGGGGUGGGAGCACAACAAGGC
Molecule: long non-coding RNA, 333 nt
Organism: Plectropomus leopardus (leopard coralgrouper)
Lineage: Eukaryota; Metazoa; Chordata; Actinopteri; Perciformes; Serranidae
Source: RefSeq, a predicted model, not a curated record